AUGCGUCCGCUUCCCCACCUCCCUCUUUCCCCGGCCACGUGCGGGCUGCCGCAGCUCCGGCGAUGUUCAAGGCGGGACGUUUGUUGUGGUUCAUCGAUCGGGGGCUUCCCUUUGGUACAAAGCCGAUCUUUUUGGAUGGUCUUGGGGGUGUCUGGAGGAUGGACGGCAGCCCUGGCAGCGGGAGGUGUGGCGUUCGGGGGUGGAACCUGCGUCUCAGGUGCGGGCAGGCAGCCAUGGUUUCGCGGGGGCUCGGCCGCGGGUGGUUGGUGGAGCAGGGGUGUGACCGCCCGGGUACAUCACUUGCCCAGUCCUUGUACUGGCCGGCGGCGGCGGUGGCCGUGGACGUCGUAUUCUUCAUGA
This 360-nucleotide ribosomal RNA is filed under the name Triticum aestivum (bread wheat). Its description in RNAcentral is "partial small subunit ribosomal RNA". Lineage: Eukaryota; Viridiplantae; Streptophyta; Magnoliopsida; Poales; Poaceae. The record is from RNAcentral.